GUAGUCCACGCCGUAAACGAUGAUAACUAGCUGUCCGGGCACUUGGUGUUUGGGUGGCGCAGCUAACGCAUUAAGUUAUCCGCCUGGGGAGUACGGUCGCAAGAUUAAAACUCAAAGGAAUUGACGGGGGCCUGCACAAGCGGUGGAGCAUGUGGUUUAAUUCGAAGCAACGCGCAGAACCUUAACAGCGUUUGACAUCCCGCGCUAACCCAAGAGAUUGGGUGUUCCCUUCGGGGACGCGGUGACAGGUGCUGCAUGGCUGUCGUCAGCUCGUGUCGUGAGAUGUUGGGUUAAGUCCCGCAACGAGCGCAACCCUCGUCCUUAGUUGCCAUCAUUUAGUUGGGCACUCUAAGGAAACCGCCGGUGAUAAGCCGGAGGAAGGUGGGGAUGACGUCAAGUCCGCAUGGCCCUUACACGCUGGGCUACACACGUGCUACAAUGGCGGUGACAGUGGGCAGCAAACCGGCGACGGUGAGCUAAUCUCCAAAAGCCGUCUCAGUUCGGAUUGUUCUCUGCAACUCGAGAGCAUGAAGGCGGAAUCGCUAGUAAUCGCGGAUCAGCAUGCCGCGGUGAAUACGUUCCCAGGCCUUGUACACACCGCCCGUCACACCAUGGGAGUUGGAUUCACCCGAAGGCGCUGCGCUAACCGCAAGGAGGCAGGCGACCACGGUGGGUUUAGCGACUGGGGUG
This 690-nucleotide ribosomal RNA is filed under the name uncultured bacterium. Its description in RNAcentral is "bacterial SSU rRNA". It matches the Rfam family "Bacterial small subunit ribosomal RNA", at positions 790 to 1482 of the family's 1533-position model. The record is from RNAcentral.